RNAcentral lists this ribosomal RNA (132 nucleotides) under uncultured bacterium. RNAcentral's name for it is "partial 16S ribosomal RNA". It matches the Rfam family "Bacterial small subunit ribosomal RNA", at positions 355 to 504 of the family's 1533-position model. The record is from RNAcentral.
UGGGGAAUCUUAGACAAUGGGCGCAAGCCUGAUCUAGCCAUGCCGCGUGAGUGAUGAAGGCCUUAGGGUCGUAAAGCUCUUUCGCUAGGGAAGAUAAUGACGGUACCUAGUAAAGAAGUCCCGGCUAACUCC